AGAUGACGACCGGCGCACGGGUGAGUAACACGUAUCCAACCUGCCGAUAACUCGGGGAUAGCCUUUCGAAAGAAAGAUUAAUACCCGAUGGCAUAAUUAGACCGCAUGGUCUUAUUAUUAAAGAAUUUCGGUUAUCGAUGGGGAUGCGUUCCAUUAGGCAGUUGGUGAGGUAACGGCUCACCAAACCUUCGAUGGAUAGGGGUUCUGAGAGGAAGGUCCCCCACAUUGGAACUGAGACACGGUCCAA
This 247-nucleotide ribosomal RNA is filed under the name uncultured bacterium. RNAcentral describes it as "partial 16S ribosomal RNA". It matches the Rfam family "Bacterial small subunit ribosomal RNA", at positions 86 to 334 of the family's 1533-position model. The record is from RNAcentral.